AUGCAAGUCGAGCGGGGUUUUCGGACCUAGCGGCGGACGGGUGAGUAAUGCGUAGGAAGCUGCCCGAUAGAGGGGGAUACCAGUUGGAAACGACUGUUAAUACCGCAUAAUGUCUACGGACCAAAGUGUGGGACCUUCGGGCCACAUGCUAUCGGAUGCGCCUACGUGGGAUUAGCUAGUUGGUGAGGUAAUGGCUCACCAAGGCGACGAUCUCUAGCUGGUUUGAGAGGAUGAUCAGCCACACUGGAACUGAGACACGGUCCAGACUCCUACGGGAGGCAGCAGUGGGGAAUAUUGGACAAUGGGCGCAAGCCUGAUCCAGCCAUGCCGCGUGUGUGAAGAAGGCCUUCGGGUUGUAAAGCACUUUCAGCGAGGAGGAAGGGGUGAGUGUUAAUAGUACUCACCUUUGACGUUACUCGCAGAAGAAGCACCGGCUAACUCUGUGCCAGCAGCCGCGGUAAUACAGAGGGUGCAAGCGUUAAUCGGAAUUACUGGGCGUAAAGCGCACGCAGGCGGUUGGUUAAGUCAGAUGUGAAAGCCCCGGGCUCAACCUGGGAAUUGCAUUUGAAACUGGCCAACUAGAGUAUGUGAGAGGGGGGUAGAAUUCCAAGUGUAGCGGUGAAAUGCGUAGAGAUUUGGAGGAAUACCAGUGGCGAAGGCGGCCCCCUGGCACAAUACUGACGCUCAGGUGCGAAAGCGUGGGGAGCAAACAGGAUUAGAUACCCUGGUAGUCCACGCCGUAAACGAUGUCUACUAGCUGUUCGUGGUCUUGUACUGUGAGUAGCGCAGCUAACGCACUAAGUAGACCGCCUGGGGAGUACGGUCGCAAGAUUAAAACUCAAAUGAAUUGACGGGGGCCCGCACAAGCGGUGGAGCAUGUGGUUUAAUUCGACGCAACGCGAAGAACCUUACCUACUCUUGACAUCUAGCGAAGAUUGUAGAGAUACGAUUGUGCC
Molecule: ribosomal RNA, 956 nt
Filed under: uncultured Chromatiaceae bacterium
Lineage: Bacteria; Pseudomonadati; Pseudomonadota; Gammaproteobacteria; Chromatiales; Chromatiaceae
Description: bacterial SSU rRNA
Rfam family: Bacterial small subunit ribosomal RNA
Source: RNAcentral